UACAGAGGGGGCAAGCGUUGUUCGGAAUUACUGGGCGUAAAGGGCGCGUAGGCGGCCGUCUAAGUCGAACGUGAAAUCCCCGGGCUCAACCCGGGAACUGCGUCCGAUACUGGAAGGCUUGAAUCCGGGAGAGGGAUGCGGAAUUCCAGGUGUAGCGGUGAAAUGCGUAGAUAUCUGGAGGAACACCGGUGGCGAAGGCGGCAUCCUGGACCGGCAUUGACGCUGAGGCGCGAAAGCCAGGGGAGCAAACGGG
Molecule: ribosomal RNA, 253 nt
Filed under: uncultured bacterium
Lineage: Bacteria
Description: partial 16S ribosomal RNA
Rfam family: Bacterial small subunit ribosomal RNA
Source: RNAcentral